CCUACGGGAGGCUGCAGUGGGGGAUAUUGCACAAUGGGGGAAACCCUGAUGCAGCGACGCCGCGUGAGUGAAGAAGUAUUUCGGUAUGUAAAGCUCUAUCAGCAGGGAAGAAAAUGACAGUGCUUGACCAAGAAGCCGCGGCUAACUCCGUCCCAGCCGCCGCGGCCAUACUAAGGGGGAAAGCGUUAUCCGGCUUUACGGGGAGGAAUGGGAGCGUGGACGGUUGUGGAAGUCUGGAGUGAAAGCCCGGGGCCCAACCCCGGGACUGCUUUGGAAACUGUGGGACUGGAGUACAGGAGGGGCAGGCGGAAUUCCUGGUGUAGCGGUGAAAUGCGUAGAUAUCAGGAGGAACACCGGCGGCGAAGGCGGGUUGCUGGACUGUAACUGACGUUGAGGCACGAAAGCGUGGGGAGCAAACAGGAUUAGAUACCCUAGUAGUC
This 440-nucleotide ribosomal RNA is filed under the name uncultured bacterium. RNAcentral's name for it is "partial 16S ribosomal RNA". It matches the Rfam family "Bacterial small subunit ribosomal RNA", at positions 338 to 795 of the family's 1533-position model. The record is from RNAcentral.